UUGGUGCAGCGCUGAUGUGAACGCGGGCGGCUGCCCAGCCGAGAGGGCGUCACGCGGCGCGGGAACCCCCGGCCCCGGCUGGCAGCGAGCGGUGCCGCCUUCCCCACCCAGGUCUCUGGUACCUGCUCGGCUGCCUGAAAGAGUUUUGGAGCUGCACGGAAGUGGAUGACAACCUGAGUCUCUAAGGAGAUAACUCCUCUCACACGUUCAUCAGGAAUUGGGUAGAAACAGACAAAAAGCUCUGGCAAUUUCAGCCAGCUUUGCACAGCUGUUCCCAGGGGCAUCCCUCGCUCACAGCCCCUGCCUUGCCUGACCCCAGCCUCUUGGAAAUGAAAGGAGGAGAGAGAAUAAAA
Molecule: long non-coding RNA, 353 nt
Organism: Rhea pennata
Lineage: Eukaryota; Metazoa; Chordata; Aves; Rheiformes; Rheidae
Exons: 3
Source: RefSeq, a predicted model, not a curated record